RNAcentral lists this long non-coding RNA (22097 nucleotides) under Ananas comosus (pineapple). RNAcentral describes it as "long non-coding RNA (ACOM_LNC030147)". Lineage: Eukaryota; Viridiplantae; Streptophyta; Magnoliopsida; Poales; Bromeliaceae. The record is from RNAcentral.
CCUCAUGUUUUUAAUGUUUAGUAUGGUGUUCGGGCCUAUCUGAUGCUCACAAAUAAAAUGGAGUUGGAGUAAAAAUAUAAAAGGAUAUGCUUAUGCGUUCUUCGAUGGAACCGUAGAAAAUAGAUCAUAACCGACUUAUUAUUAAGUUUGUGCGAAACGCAAUAUUACGUACGAAAAUAAAUAUGAUAUUUUUUUAUUGUACUUUCUCGUCGUACGUAAUGCAAUAUUUUCGUAAUUCGAAACGAAGCCUAAAUACACCCCCACUGGUAGGACCAGUUAGAAAGAUAUAAUUAAUUAUAGGUAAAAUACUUAACUCUCGUUAGUGAAUGAGAUAAUUUAACCUUUUUACCUCUCUUAUACUUAUUUGAGAUGGUGGAAAGAAAGAAGAUGACCCGUGGAGAUUUUUGGAAAGAUGUUUCUGCAUCGUUUUGCCGGUUGGGACUUUUUGAGGGAUAUAUCUAUGAUGGCAAAAAUAUCGUUUUACUUAUCUUUUAUUUAAAAAUAAACAAUGCUCUAGUGGUAAUAAACCAGAAAAAUAAAUAUGAAUAUUACUGGACUUUUGUAAAAAUAAAUAUAAAAAAUUGAACUUUGUAGGAAUAUAAUUGUUAGUCGAUAUGUUUACAGGGAGCUGUAUGAAAUUAAUCCUUUUUUAUUAAUAGGCUUUAAAAAAUAUGAAUAAUUACCUCAAAACUUCUCAACUAUUUUAUAUACUCCUUUUUUUUUUUGUUUCAAAUAUUUUCUUAGUAAUGCUGAGGCCUGAGGGAUGCAAACAGAAUGGAUCAUGGGGUAGGAGGGAUUUCUUAUCUCCCACUCCAUUUUUUGUAGAUGGUGGUGGAUUCGGGGAAGUUUAAUUUAAUCGUAUAUUCAACCCCCACUAAUCGUUUCAUUUGGGAUAGAUCGUGGCGGGAGCUGGAUCGGGGUGGAUCAAAAAGAGAAAAGGGUAUCCCACUUUCUACUCUAUUUACUUGGCGGAUCGGGCCGGAUAGAUCGUGGCAGGAGCUAGAUCGGGGUGGAUCAAAGAGAGAAAAGGGCAUCCCACUUUCUACUCCAUUUACUUGGCGGAUCGGGCCGGAUUAUAGUUUUCUAUAUUUUUGAUUCCACUUACCGCCCCAUUCAGGAUGAAUCAGAUGGAGCUUCACCAAACCAGGUCCAUUUGCAUUUCUAGCAACAUUGCAACUUUUGUUCUAUACUUAAACACUUUAAUCACCAAAUUUUUCUAUAUGUUGCCAUUUAUCUUUUAGUUUUUUUAAAAACAACAUAUUUUCUUAUAAAACAAUCAAUUUUUACUCCAUUAAAAAUAGCGUAGAGAGGACAAAAAUAUGGUAGGCAUCUGUCCCCAAACAACUUGUUUGGGGACAGAGCCGAUGAGCGCUGCAUGGUGUACGUGCGUCUAUUGCAAUCACCCCCUUUCCACCGGCUUCUCUCUCUCUCUCUCUCUCUAAAAAAUUGGAGCCCACAUUUUUUUUUUUUGCCGUUUCCGAGGGUCGCGACGACUCCGCCCCCAAACAAGUUGUUUGGAGGCAGAUGCCCACCAAAUUUUUGUUCGUAAAGAGGUCACUUGAGUAUGAGCAAUUAAAUUGAAGUGUAUAAAUAUGUUUAGAUAAAUAAUUUAUAGAACUUUUGUUUUCGUUUUUGGUUCAGUUUAUAAAAGCUAAUUAAACGAAAAUUAUCAAAAAUUAGAAACGAAAACAAGUCAAAUAUAGAUUGGCUUGUGAUCAAUCAAAUAUUGAUAUUUAUAUCUUCAUAUCGGAUGUAGAUAUUAGGAUAUUAGUUAGAUAUAAAAAUUAAAAUUCGUAUCCAGUAAAAAUGAAUUUGUAUACGGAUCAGAUAUAACUAAUACCGGUAUGAAUAGAAUAUUUAUUGAAUACUAAAGUCUAAUUAAAAAAAUUGCCAAUAUGUAUUUAAGCUCUUUAAAAUUUAUACAAUAUUAGAAAUAUAUAGAAAAGAAUUAUGAAUUAUAAAAAAAUGUCGUUGAAUAUGAAGUUAGUAAGAGCGUUAAAUGUUGAAAAUAUAUUAAAACUGAUUUUGGAUUCGGAUAAUCGGCAUCCAAAUUCAAAUUCAAAAAGGAAUAGUGAAUUCAAGUCUAAAAAAAAAUAAUUUGAGAUUCAAAUCUAAAUUGAAAUCCAAGCCGUAGUGAUAUCGCAAUCUAUAUCCGAUAAUUUUCAAAUUCAGAGUCCAAUUUUAUAGAGUUUUGUGUAAUAUUAAAUGCGAAGGAUGUUUAUACAAUAUUUGGAUCGUUUAUGGACUAUACUGCAAAAUAACCCUCACGCCUUUUUCCCUCGAGAGGGUGGAGGGUAUAACGAAAACAAAAACAAAAGUAAAAACAAAACCCUAGUUCUCUUUUCGGCUCCGCCGUGCCCUAAUCUCCUCCGACCAUGGCGAAUCGUAAGCAUAAUUUUCCCAUCUUCCAAUCUCGAUUUUUGUUCAAUAAAUUCGUGAACGGAUCGAUCUAUCAUAUAGAUCUCAGAGGAUUUGCUUCUUCUCCCUCUUUUUUUUUUUUUUUUUUUUUCUUUUUAAUAAUUUUUGGUUUGUGGUGCGCAGCAAUGGCGCGAUCUUUUCUUCAGGCCGUGGCUUCGGAGGAAGUGGCGUCGCCUCUGCGAGUGGUUCAGAUGGAAGGGCUUGUAAUCCCCUCAAAACCCUUUUUUUUUUAAUUUUUUUCCCUAAUUUAUUCUUAUUUUUCUGUUUUUUAAUUUGAAAAAGAUCGGACUUUGUGAGCAUGCAUGAAUAAUUCAAGUAAUUUUAUGUGUACUUUUGUUGGAGGAGCGUGGGGAAGUGCAACAAUUUAAUUUAAUGUCAUAGUUACGUAUGUGUGUAUAUGUUGAUCUUGUUAUUCAUCUAGGAUAUUGCUAUUUGGAGUAGCAAUAUAUCGGAAAUCACUCAAUAGCUUCUCCCUGCAGCGGAUUCAGAAGCUUCGAAUUGGAUCUUCUGCUUUUACGCCUUGAAAUCUCAUUUAUUCUUUUCGGACACAAUCAAGUCUCUGGGCUUUUUUGUUUGCUAAACAUUCUGCUAGCUGGUUUUCAGAACAGAUUUUCCACUCUGAGAAGUAGUAGACAUGUGUGAUGUGUUUGGCAAGCUAAAAUCCGGGGACUUCUCGGGUGGCAGGAAACUGAAAUUAGUGGAAACUCUAAUUUGAAGCUUUGUGGUGUUUCUUUGAGGCAUCGUUGGGUGAUGUCCGACUGAGAAGGGAUCGUUCGUGGUAGUAUGUUAUUAGGGACUACCUGCUUGCACAUUAUCAAAAUUUGGAUGAUAGUCCGUGCGACUAUUCUUCAUUCGUAAUUCACCAAAGAAAAUGCCUAACUUCAUGAUUUGGUCAGCUUUGCAUAGAAACUAAAUAGCUUGUUUUGUCAUCACCCUUGAAAAGUUUUGAUCCUUUAUGAUUGAUGCUAAGGUGAAAUUUGAAACGAUAGAUGAUGCUCUCAGAGGUCCCAUUCAUGUCUCUCUUAAUUUCUUUCCUUACUAUUGCUUAAUAGUUAGGAAAGCUUUUAAGAUACCUUCUUGGUUAACAUUUUUCAUGUUAUUUUUCAUUCUUGGUGCAAUGCAGACAGUUUUAAAGAUUAUUAAGCACUGCAAGGAGUUCUCCCCAUCUUUAGUUACCGGUCAACUUCUUGGCCUGGACGUUGGUAGCGUCCUUGAAGUCACCAACUGUUUUCCUUUCCCGGUAUGCAGCUUGGCUUUGUUCAAUCUCAUGAGAUCUUACGUUUUAACGUCCGUUGUUUUUUUUUUCCCCUCUUAUGUUCUCGCUUUUAUCAGUACUGGUAAUUCAUUGCAUUUAGGUCUCUUUGGUUAAUAGUUUACUUGACCGUUCUGUUACAGAUACGGGAAGAAGAUGAGGAGAUUGAGGCAGAUGGGGCAAAUUAUCAGCUUGAAAUGAUGAGAUGCUUAAGAGAGGUUAACGUAGAUAACAACACCGUUGGCUGGUAAGUUUGAACCCCAUAAUCAGCAUUUGCUGUUUAUCAUUUGGUCAAUGGUAAUUUCAUGUGCGAAUCAUUGUUGUUAUGUAUAUAAAAUGUUGAUUCAUAUUUCACAUGUAUUUUUUUUAUUGAAAUCUACCACUUAGCGGGAGUUAUAGUAGAGAGGUGAAAAAGAAAUUGUGUACACAAAACUUGCGUAUCGUAAUAUGUUUAGUUGGUUUAUAAUCUUCAAUCUUUGUCUAUUUGUACCUAAAUCAGUUAUGUUUCAACUUUGCUUACAGGUACCAGUCAACUUUGUUGGGAUCUUUCCAGACUGCUGAGCUGAUUGAAACAUUUAUGAAUUACCAGGUAAGAGGAGGAAACUAUAGUUUCCAUUUCUUCUAUUGUCAUAUAGUAAGAAGUUUUCUUGAUCGUUUCUAACUGUUUUUAUCUUCAGAAAAGUUUCUUUUCUCUUGUAUAUAUUUAUAUAUUAUUUAUAUUUACCUUAGAGGUAACGGACUAAUAAUUAUAUAGAUAGAUGCUUAGCUAUAUUUAUUUCUUGAACUUCUCAUAUUGAAACAUCAAUCUACGAAUUUUUUCUCGAGCUUUCCUUGACUAAAGAGGAUAUUCUAUAGCUAUUUGUUACUGCCUUUUCCUUUACUCUUUAAUUUCUUUAUUUAUUCCUAUUUUUCUGUUCAUUAGAUAUAGUUCAUUUCAUAUAUAGUUGGUAGUAGAGAGCUGAGUUUUUCUUUGGGUGCAUUGCUAAUAUAUUUCUAGUUAUCAGUACUGCUGUAGUGAUUUCCAACUACUUAUCGGGGCUUUGUUAUGUAGAGCAUCUCUAAUAUAUAUUAUAUGCAUCGUCAUAUAAUUUCUUUUUGUGUUUACUUGAUUUUUUUUAUUAACUUAUGGAAUAUUUUCUCCAGGAGAAUAUUCGGAGAUGUGUAUGCAUCAUAUAUGACCCAUCGAAGUCAAAUCAAGGAGUCUUAGCUCUCAAAGCUUUAAAGCUCUCUGAUUCAUUUAUGGAACUUUACCGUAGCAACAAUUUCACUGGAGAAAAGUAUGUGCAAUAUCUUGUGACAAUUUCAGUAAUUUGUGAUAAUGUACUUUUAAUAAAUAUCGUACCUAUUGUCUUUUUCUUUAGGUUGAGGGAGAAGAAAUUGGCGUGGGUUGAUAUCUUUGAAGAAAUUCCGGUACAUCUUUUCUUUCUUUUGCUUUUCUGUUUCCCUUGAGAUUACAUGUAUUUUCCUCUUGCUGAAAAGGGCAAUAACAUAUAGAUUUUAUCUUGCUACCUUCACAAGAAGGCACUUGUUUUGCUCCUGCUGGUGCUUCUGUGAUAGUGUUGUUGCAGGAGAGCUGUUCAAAGAAACACUUGUUACUUUUCAAAUUAAAUCUUUGUUAACAGCUUCCUACCAGAAGCAAAAGAUUCAAAUUAGAGCUUCUAAAUUUUGGAGCCUAGAAGCAUAUUUUAGCUUCCUUCCAUGGGAAAAGCUCCACAUUUUACUGCUUUUCGCAUUAGAGAAGCUGUUCCUGAAGCUAUGCUAAGCAAGCAGUCUAUAUGUACUUUUUGAGGGUGCACAAGUGUCUAUAAUAAUUCUCGUCUUUAAAUGUAUGCUUUUGUUUCUUUACUCUUAUUUCCUUUUUGUUCUUUCUUGAAUCAGAUUAAAGUUUCUAAUUCUGCACUUAUUAGUGCAUUCAUGACGGAGCUGGAACCUGAGUCACCUGUUUCACAGGUGUAAUACCUUUGUUCUUAUUCUUCUUCACGGGCAUAUAUUUUGACAAUUUUGUUAUAUGUUACUCCAAAUUUUACAUUUUGGUUAUUUUCAGUGUGAUUAUGACCGACUCAAUUUAUCAACUGCUCCAUACAUGGAAAGGAAUUUGGAGUUCCUGAUUGAAUGCAUGGAAGAUCUUUUGUCUGAGCAAAAUAAGGUAUUAUAUUAAUGGCAAACUUUGCCUUAGCUUCCAUGAUAUAAUCGAAUGAUGUAUUGUUAAACCGAAACUAUUUUUCGAAUAUAGUUUCAAUAUUAUUAUCGGAACCUCUCAAGGCAACAGGCGCAACAGCAAGCAUGGCUUCAGAAGCGAAGGUAAAUAAAUACACAGUUUCUGUUUUUCUGUGCAUUUACAUUAGUAUUGGAGGGUGUAAUUUGCUUAACGAUAUAUCGAGGGUGUAAUGUAAACUUGACUCCUCAAAUUAGAAGUUACCUGCAAAUAUUGAAUUUGAUUAUAGUGCAAAGAGUUGGUUUUGCAGUUUUGUGUACUAAAAGAUAUUGAAUAAUAAGAAGCUACUAUGUGGAGUGAAGUGAUAAGAAACCUAUUACGCUACUAGAUUGUGGUCAUCUACAAAUUUUGUGGGGUGCUGGUUGGGGUUGAUCAUAGAGAGAAAUGAUGUGCAUCCAUUAUUUUGUAUCUUAAGAAAAGCUUAAUGCCUAUCAAAGAUGACGACGGAAACUAGCAAUUAAUCUGAGACCAUCGCAGUUCUGAAGUGUAGUGACAACAGAGAAGGAUAAGGCUUCAAAUUUACCCCUUCAUGCACUGUAACUUUCUCCGAUCAAUCAUGAUGAGGACCAAAUAAUGCUUGUGCCAGCGAAUCACGAUAUUCGUAGUUAUCACCGUGUGAAAAGCCUCUAAAGUGCUUUAUAUUAUCUGAGAAGCCUACUAUUCUUAUGCUACCUAUAUUCUAAGUUCUAUUAUUGUUGCCUUAAAGCUCGUUAAAGCUUCUCAAUGUCCUUCCUUUUUACGAUAUCUGUUUUAUACAAUCUUGCCAUUUUGGCCUCCUAUUACCCUCAUAUAAUUAUCUUCCAUUUGACAUGUGGGAAGCAUGAAAUCCCAUUAAUCGAGUACAUUUCUCUAGCAUAAAAGACAGUCAUGUCAUUAUGUUUACUAUGAUCUUAAGUUUUUUAUUUAACCUUUUCGUUGCGAGUUCUAUAUGCUUCAUUUGUUAUUUUGGUUAGUAUUUGUAUUCACUUAUGUGGCAUCCUUCAUCUUGUAUCACAAUAGGCAAGAGAACGUGGCAAGGAAAGCUGCUGGGGAGGAGCCAUUGCCAGAAGAAGACCCAUCAAAUCCCAUCUUCAAGCCGAUUCCCGAGCCGUCACGCCUUGAUAGCUAUCUCAUUACAAAUCAAGUCGCUAAUUAUUGCAACCAAAUCAAUGGGUAUGGCCCAAAUGCUCUAUUUCCUUUUCCAACUUUUCCGUACUUGAACCUCUGAGCCAGCCUUAAAUUUUCCAAAUCAAGUGUGAUGCUUGCAUUUAUGUGUUUUGAAAAUUAAAAGGUAAGAUUACUAUCGGCAAACAUGCCAUAAUCCGGCACAGAAUAAAAAAGAUCCAAUAUAAAUCUAAUAUUCAUAUACACUGGAAUGAAGCAGACUCUAUCAAAUUUCAUUAGAAAUACAAAUAUAGUUGGGACAUGUUGUUUACUUACCGGGAGAUUGUCUGGAGAUGUGCAUCUCAAGGAUUGACUCUUCAACUGCGCAUCUUCUAAAUAAGCAUUUUCGCACGGCCUACGUUAUGCACAUGUGCGAUACUCCUGAUGGAUUAAGAAUGUCAAAUUAUGUAUUGUUUAGCUCUCUAGGAGGAACUGUAAUUGGUGUCUAUAUGUCAAUUGCCAAAUAUGUGAACUUAUCGAGGAACUAAAUAUUAACACAACGCAUUAUCAAGUCAAUUUUUGUCAUGAAUAAAUUGCGUCAUAGUAGUAUCCUAAUUUAUAACCUAGUCAACUGAAGAGCUGUUUUUAUUUUCUUUGGCACUAAUAUAUUCUAAUUGCUUCUUAUAUAUAUUUUUUAUUUUUUUUGCACUUAUUGAGUAAACGACUGGCUAAUUUCAAAGUAAAGAAGAUUUUGAGUCGUGACAUCAGCACAGAGGCCGUAUCGUGUAGACAUUUUAUAGGCACAAUACGACACUCCAGCGCACAACUUGUGCUGAUGGACAUUUAAAUCCUUGCUCCAGUUUUUCUUUCUUUCAUGUCCCUGACAGGACUACUUUGAAUUUAUCUUCUUCAUAAGCAAUUCUGCUCUCAGCUCGAUAAAUUACGCAUAUGAUGAUAUGAUGAAUCUUUGUUUAAAAUGAAAUAUUUCAGGGUCGCGGGGCAAAGUUUCAGCAGAUUAUACUUAAUGAAGGCCUUGCACGAUAACUAAUUUGCGUGAAUAUAUUGCGGCACUUCGACCUUUUUAGGCUCUGUUUCUGUAUGAAUACUUCUGUAAUUCCAUAGUAGGCAUUGUGAGUUCCUUUUCUUUUAUCUUUUUUAAUUUUCUAUGACCAUGAUGAGAAAUUUUGAUUGUGAACAAUUGCUUAGACUCUACCUUUAAAAGGUGUUUGCAGUGAAUUUUUAGUUAAAUGCAACAUAAUGGAAUUGUGAAUUCUCUUUUCAUUUUUAUUUUUUUAUUUUUAUUUUAUUUUUCCUCCUCUCCUGAAGAAGAUGUAUUCCUUGAAGCAAAAAAUUUUGGGUCUUCUUAAUAAUCUCUUCAUGAAUUAUUAGCUACAUUUUUCUGGCAGAAAUUUUCAGAAAAGGCAGGAAGAAGAAAUUGAUUCUUUAUCUCUUCAUUAAAUAUACUUUGUUUUUAAAACUAGUUUUGCCUAAAUUGUGAUCUAUGAAUCCAUGAUAUGGGUCAUGGACAUGCCCUAUAUAUUUCUAUUAUAUAUUUUUUAGAAGUUAACACAGUUUCUCUUUUGGUUGUAGAUUUAGGGCAUGUUUGGUGGUGCUGUAGAAAAUAGUGUUAGUUGCUGUAGUGCGAAGUAGCGCAGCGCUAUUGGAAGAAGCAUUAUGUAAAAUUAUAUAUAUAUUUUUUAAACUUUUAGAUCUCAUUAUUUUUACCAAAAAAAUUUCACAAGUUAUAUUGAUAUAAUUUGUGCAACAUAAAAUAGAGUUUAACACCAAUAUAUGUUUCAAACUACAGCUCAAAAUUAAAUGACUAGAUAUAUAAAUAGAAAAUUAUGCUAUUAUACUAUUAAUAGAAUUAAGCGCUUGGUGCUGUCGAGUUUUGAGUGGGUGGUUGGUUAAAUAAUAUAAUCUAACGGAUGAAAAUAAUUAAAAGGUAGAUCUAACGGCAGAAAAUACGAUAGUACUCAGAAUUUGGUACUGUCGAUAGUAUAGUAGCCCGACUCUAUAAAUAGAUAUGUGAAAAUAAACAGGAAAAAUAUAUUUUUUAAGUGAGAAAAUUAUUUUUUAUUUUUAUUUUAUUUGGGGAGUAACCAAGCAUUAAAAAGUGCCAAACCAAUAUUUAUUUACCCCUUAAAUUAUUUAUUCGGCACACUUGGCAAAAAUGUACAAUGCCACGUGGCAUAAUAUUGAGAGGUAUAGAGAUCCUUGCAAGGGGAUAAGGAUAGGGUUUGGAUACUCCUCUCACCCAAUAGGAGCCAUGAAUCCCAAACACCUAAUCUCAAAAAAAAAAAAAAAAAAAUCCAACACAUUUUUUUUUUAUAACACAAAAGGACCCAAUUUUAAAAACAAAUAUAUUUCCUAUUAUAACCCUAGGCUCCUCCACACUCCUAUACUCAAAACCCAUUGUUGCAUUAAAAAAAAAAAGAAAACAAAAAAGAAAAAAGAAAAAAAAAAAGGAAAAAAUGGCCACAGCUCCCAUGGCUAGCCAAUUGAGGAGCUCCUUCCUCUCUCCCACCACCACCACCACCACCACCUCUUCUAGGGUUUUGGUCACUCCCAGGGGCAUUUCUGGAAAUCCACUUAGGGAUCUUCACUCUAGGAGGAGGAGCUCUCUCACUGUUAGAGCUGUUGUUCCAGAGAAGGUAAGGAAUUUAGAUAUUUCAUGGCAUUAUUUUCCUCUUUUUUUUUCAUAAUAUCUUAAUUUGUUUAGAAAUUAAUGCUUUAGGGUUUGGUUAAUGUAAUUAUAAAGAUCGAUACUACAUAAUACAGUUCAAGAAAUAAUUUUAACACUCUCACUUAUACGACGUGUAUGGUGAAAAUUAGAUAAAUUAUAUUGCGUGCUCUAUUAGAAAAGAUUUGAACUUAUGAACUCUUAAAACUACAUAAUAUGGCUCGAAAAUAAUUAAUGUAAUUAUAAAGAUUAAUACCAUAAAAUAUGGCUCGGAAAUAGUUCUAACACUCUCACUUACGUGUACGGUGGAGAUCAGAUAAACUAUAUCACGUGCUUUGAUAAAAAGAUAAUAAAAUAGAUAGAAGAUUUAAAGUGCGGGGGUUUAGGUUAUGCUCUUGCACCAUAUUGCUUAAAAAAUUGAUAGAAAACGGCAUAAAAUUAGAAUUGUCAAGAGUUUAAGCCUCUUUCGUAGUGCGGUAAGAAUUUAUAUUUAAUUAUUUCUUGUAGCGAUUUUUCAUGUUUGGAUUCCUUGAAUCUGGUUAAAUUCAGUCAGUAAAUAGUUAUCAUGUGUAGUUUUUUUUUUUUUUUUUUUUUUUUUUUUUUUUUGUAUAUGAUCAUUUGAAAUAAUAGAAAAGAAUUAAUCCAUGCGGAUUAAUGACUCUAGGUAAUCAACUAAUUAUUUCUUUUUGUUGAGUUUAAAGCACUUAGACUCUUAUUCUUGCGCAAGCUAAGCUAUUAUGAUUAUGGGAAAACUUAAAAAAACCCCAUGUGGUUUCUUACUUUCUCACUUGAGUGCCCUGUGGUUUAAAGUGUAUCAAUUUGAUGCCCUGUGGUUUCAUUUUUAUCUUUUUAUUAUCAAUUUUAUUUUAUUUUUUUCUUAAAUCAGUGACAAAGUUAAAAUUAAAGAGUACUAAAGUAAAUAUUUGAUAAAUCUAGGUGAGUAUUUGAAGUUUUUUAUAUAUAAUUUAACAAAAUAUAAACGAAAAAACUAUAGAAAAGAUAAAGAUAAAGACAAAAUCACAGGGCACCAAAUUGAUACACUUUAAAUCACAGGACACUCAAGUGAGAAAAUGCAAAACCAUAGGGAGGUUUUUGAAGUUUUUCCUAUUAUUAUUAACACUAGAAGAGCACCUUUGUUUACUUAUUUAAAACUACUAGAAAAGCUUACUAUAAAAUUGUUAAUAAUUAGGAAUCUUAUUUUAAUAUUAAAAAAUUAUAUGUUUAGCAAUGGGGAUUGCCGUAUUUUUACAUUUCUUAAAGCACUUUAGUCUAGCUCCAUUUACGUAUACAAAUACAGUUAUAAAACUAUACGAAUUCUCAAGUUCUAAAUAAUACGUAGAAUCAGGUCCUUAAUGUUUAAGGAAAAAAAAAACUCGUUCUUUAGUUAUGAGUAGUGGGUGUGAUCCGUUUUUGAAUUAAUGAAGUUGGUGCGUGGAGUAAGGAUGCAGACGGGGCGGAUCCGGGGGUGGGAGAAAUUCUUCAUCUUCCGCCCCGUUUUUCUGACGAAUUGGGACGGAUUCGGAACUAGUUAUAUUUUUUGUUCCCGUUUAUCGUCCCAUUUAGAGCAGAUCGGGGUGGGAGCUUCGUCAAUCCAGAUCCAUUUACAUUCCUGGCGUGGAGCUAGGUUCUAAAUUUUUAUUUGUACUAAUAACUCAAAUAUUUAUUUAUUUUUUUGUUGUGUGUGUUGUACAGCAAACUUAUCAAGUGAUCCAGCCCAUCAAUGGAGACCCAUUCAUUGGAAGCCUUGAGACCCCAAUCACAUCGAGCCCACUCAUCGCUUGGUACCGCUAAAAUAAUGCGAAACAAUCGUUAUUCUCUAAAAAAAAAAAAAAAAAAAAAACUCAAGCCGUAGAGAAUGAUGUUUUUAUAUUUUUAUAUUUAACAGGUACCUGUCCAACCUCCCGGCCUACCGGACCGCAGUGAGCCCGCUCCUCCGCGGCGUCGAGGUCGGCCUGGCCCACGGCUACCUCUUAGUCGGCCCGUUCGUAAUAACCGGCCCGCUCCGCAACACCCCCUACGCCGGCCAGGCCGGCUCGCUCGCCGCCGCCGGACUCGUCGUCAUCCUCAGCAUCUGCCUGACAAUGUACGGCAUCGCGUCGUUCAAGGAGGGGGAGCCGUCCGUCGCCCCCUCGCUGACGCUGACCGGCCGUAAGAAGGAGGCCGACAAGCUCCAGACGGCCGAGGGCUGGGCCCAAUUCUCCGGCGGGUUCUUCUUCGGCGGCAUUUCGGGGGUUAUCUGGGCCUACUUCCUCCUCUACGUCCUCGACCUCCCCUACUACAUUAAGUAGGGGGUACUUACGUUCUCUGCGUUAUCUGCAUUUAGCUCCCUCAAAACUUUUUUUAUUAUAUUAAUUGAUCCCGCAAAAAGUUUGAAUGCAGAAAUGACCCUACGCUCUUACGCAAGAUAUUUUGCGUUUCUGCAACUCAAAUUUGUUUGGGUUCAAUUAUAAAAUGAAAUGUUUUGAGGAGCCCAAAUGCAAUAAAAAAGCAAAAAAAAAAAAAAAGGAAUUUAACUUUGUGUUCAUUGCCCUGCUUGUAUUUGUAUGUUCUUAACUUGAAGAGAAGUACUCAUGUUGGUUUGUAUAUUUGGAAUGGAGAAUUUUAAUGGGAAAUAUCAAUUUUAUGAACUAUGAAUUUAAUUGCUCAAAAGAUAAAAUAAAAUGUAGUAAUGGUGAUAUAACAUUAACUUUUGUGUUUAACUGCGAAACGAAAAAAAAAAACCUUAUCUCUCCUAAUUGAUGUUUGUUGUGUUUUUUGCCUUAUUUAGAAGUGCAUGCGAUUAUUUAAUAUAAAAAUUUAAUCGAAAGUAAUAUGAUUAUUAUUUCAAAAACAUCAUCCAUGGGGGUUCUAAAAAUUAAUGGCAGAAAAAAAAUUAUUAUUUGAUUUGUAAGAGAAAAGUCUUUUUUAAAUGCAAUAUAAUACAUCUCCAUUUAUUUGAAAACAUGCUAGCAACUAACUGUUCAGCAUUAAAUCUCUGAGUUUAUAUUUUUGUUUUAAACUAGCGGUGCAAUUCAGCUUGUGUUCCCCACGAAAUGAGUUUGAAAUCGGAUCAUUCGUUUAGUAAACAAGCCGAACGCGAAAUGAAUUUUUCAGCUCAUUUAAAUAAACGAGCCGAAUAUGAGCUAGGGUCAGCUCGUUCUUGUUCGGCCGAUAAUAGUUCGAAUACAUAUAUUUUAUAUUUAUAUAUAUAAAUAAAUAAUUAUAUAUAUAAAUACAGACUUUUAUUAUUUUAUUUUUUUAACCCAACCAAUUAUAAAAAAACUCAUUUAUAUAUAAACUCUCAACCAUUACAUCAAAAUUUAAUGGAUAAUAUCUCAUUAAUUUCUUUUCUAUAUGUAUAUUUUUUAAUCUUUUUAACUUAUUGUUCAUAAGCCAGCUCAUAUUCGGCUUCUUAAUAAACUAGCUGAAUACGAACUGAAAUUUUUAGCUCAAUAUUUUAACAAGCCAGUUUGUGUUCGGCUCAUUUGUGAUUCGAGCAGCCGACCCAGCUCGCAUUUGUUUGAUAGAUCGACACCCCUAUUUCAAAUGCUAUAAACAAAAAUAGAAGAAUUUGUUUGGUAAAUUAGAGCGACAGUUCAGGAAUUAAUUUGUGAAAUUCGUGGAACUUGAUCUCCAAAUUACUUCAAAACAAUUAAAAAUAAUUUUCGGUCCAGGAACCACGUGGUAGACCCGGUCCAUACACCGCACAACACAUCCUCAUCAAGUCCACGUAACCGUGAUAUGUAACCGUUACACCGAUUGAUUGUUUCCCUCCUAAAAGCAUCCCACACUGACAAGUCCAAAGAUGCGAUUUUUAGUUGGGUACAAAAUGUCGAAAUGUAUGGCGACCCCCUUCAACUAUUAGAUAUUUACAAAUCGCUGCAUUUUCUUUAUUUUAUUUUAAAACUCUUUGUAUUUUGAUAUGUAUGUUUAAAUUGAAUAUUAAUGUCUUUGAAAUUACAUUUUUAUAGUAAUUUUCAUUAAUCUUUAGUAAAUAAAUUGAUAAGAAUUAUUAGAUACCCCAUUAUAGUUUUUUCUUUUCGUCAGUCUUUUCGUUAACUUUUCGUUAAAUUACAUACAAAAAAUAUUAAAUAUCCCUUAUAGUUUAUCGAAUCUUUAUUUUGGUAUCAUUUAAUUUUAACUUAAUCGUUAUUUUAACGAAAAAAAAUAAUGAAGGAAAUAAAAAAAAAUAAAUAAAUAAAACGAAAGGAUACGGAAAAAAUAGCAUACUGAAGUGAGAAAACGAGAAAUUACAGGGUGGUAUUUGAAGUUUUCCCUAUAUAAAAACCAGUCCCUUUCCUCUUCUUCUCCUCUCUCUCUCUCUCUCUCUAUCUCUCUAAUGGCGUUCUCCUCUCUCCUCCUCACCACCUCCCCCACUCUCCCCCUCUCCUCCCACCGCCGCACCCUCCCAAUCCCCUCCACGCGCCCCCUAAAACCCUCCGUAAACCCUAAUUUCGCCACCAAUUCGUCGAAUCCCCGUUCGAUUGAGCCGCUCUUCGUCUCCGCUCGAGUUCGCGCGCGGGGGAGCUCGAUCGGAGAAGCCGAGGCGGAGGAGCCCUACGUCGAUGGGGGCGACGACGAGGGAGGAGCUCUCCGCGGCGAGGACUCGGCCGCGUUCGACUUGGGGGAGCAGAGGCUCGCCUCGUGGGCCUACUUCGCGGCGAUUUUGGGCGCCGUGCUCUUCGGAUUGAACGUGGUGUGGAUCGACCCCUCCACGGGGUUCGGGACCGCGUUCGUGGGCGCCGUUUCGAGCCUCUCGAGUAGCCACGAGGUGAGUCCUGUGGUAAAGGUCUCAACUUUAAGGGGAAUUUUGAUUUUUCUCAUAAUAUUAUUACUGCGUUCUACUUGAAUUUUGCAAUUUUGUAACUGUUUAAUGCAUAAAUAUUAGGAAUUUUGUAGUUUUGUUGAAUUUGAUAGAUUGGUAGUAUCGCCAUAUGAACUAUCAUAAGAUGUGUCCAGGGUGUUUUUGCGCGGCGCAAGCUUGCUAUAUGAAGAGCUUAUAUAACAAUUUUAUCAGUUUUCGCGUUAAAUAUCUGUAUAAUCUUCUCUCGACGAUUAAAACCUAAAACUUUUCUCAUGCUUCCACUUUUGUGCACCGCGCUUCUGCUUAUCGAGUAGAGAAGUUGUUUAAGAAGUGGAUGAAACAGGCAAUAAAUUGACUUUUGUUCAAUUAUUAGCAUGGACGAUGCGUGGAUGAGAUUUAUCUGCACUGGUUUUCUUCAUUUAGUUUGCGAUUUAUUGUCCGUUUAAAGUACUUAAAGAUAAAUCAGGUGAACUAACUAAAGUAGAUACACUAUAGGCGGUGAACUGGUGGAAAUAGUUGGGUCUUAAGGUAGAUAAGCCAAGAUCAAAAGGCAUAAAGGAAUUGGAAAGUUCAAUUUAUAUAAAAUACGUCAGAAUUGGUGAACAGUUGGAAUCAUCCUUUUGUGUGAUCGAUUAUUUGAAAAUUGAAAGAAAUUGGAAAAUAUUGGCUGAAGAGAAAUGAUAGAAAGUAAGUGAUCAAAUAGUGUAAGAAUACCCAACUUGAACCACAAUUCCCCAAACAUAGGAGCCAACAUGAAAAAUGAUUUAGGUGAUUGAAUCAUCAUCUUUAACUUGUGUUAAAAGCCAUAUAUUUUUGUAGCUAAAGAAAUCCAUGGUAAAUUGAGAAUGUGCUUAAAUGUGGACAAGAGAGCCAUAAGUCAAUGACUUUGGAAAGCCUUCAAAACAGGUGUCCUUUAAGAUAGAUGCGGCUGUCAGCCUGUUCAGUUUGAAAUUGUAAUGCGACAAGGGCAAGACAAGAUCAUCUCUCUCUCUCUCUCUCGCUCGCUCGCUCGCUCUCGUGCUCACUUUGUAUGUGUGUGCACAUGCUAUCCCAUCAAAGAAUGCAGUGCAAAUUGUGCAUCUUUAUUAUUAUUAUUUUAAUCUUCUUUUCUCGCUGCCUUUACUAGGCUGUGCUACCUUAAUUCUUCUCUGGUGCUGCCCUCAUAUAUAUAACUUAUUCUGAAAUUUUGUAUCUGCUUCGUAAUAUUUUCGCCAGUAUUGGACUAUCGAGUUUUGCCGGGCUUGAGAAUCUAUCUCUUUGGAGAAAUAUAUUGCCAUGUUAAGAGCACUCAUUGUGGGUUGUGGGCUUGAAAAUCCCAAUUUUACCCUCCAAGCUUCCUUUUUGUUGCUUUUUUGUCGGUUUACUGGAGGAGCUAAUUGUUAUCUUUCUAGGCAUCUAAUUCUUAUCUAGUUUAAUUAAAUUGUUUUCUUUUAGCUGAAUAAUUACUCCUGUUGCUGUUUCAUCCUCGAUGAGAUUUUGAAAGCUUACUCUUUCAAUUAUGCAGGUUGUAAUGUUGAUCCUCAUAAUCAUUUUUGCCGCUGUUCAUAGUGGUAUGGCUAGUUUCCGCGAUGCUGGCGAGAAGCUUAUUGGAGAGCGGGCUUACCGUGUUCUAUUUGCAGGAAUCUCCCUUCCCCUAGCAGUCAGCACUAUUGUGAGUUCUCGAGCAUCUUUUUUCUUCUCACUCGCUCUAGAAUCUUUCAUGCUAAAUUGCCUCCUAAACCUGAUUUCAGUUAAAUCCUUAGUGUGACACCCCAAUAGUUCCAUAUCGGAUAAUAUGAGAGCGUGUAACGUGCUUAUAUACGACUGGCACGCUAGAACUAAUAACCGGGCUUAAGCAUUUUGGACUAGUGAUUUUGACCCACGAGUUAUUAGUACUAGUGGGCUGGGUAGUUGCACUUAAGAGUUCAAUUUUAACUGCCCAGUUCCUGAAGUUUGUUCCAUCCAGCAAUUAGGUAAUAAUUAGGCUGUUCAUUCACCAGGCUCGACAUUAAAUACCACUAUAUCCACUACGUCCAACAAUUAUGCUGAGGUGUUGUCUUUUUCCAGGCACUGCUUUAACAAGAGAAUUUAAUUGUUACACCAAACAAACUUUAGGGGCUAAAUUGUUGAAUUUGAACCUCUAAGGACUUAAAUCAGGGUUAAAUUUCAAGGACCAAAAAUCAAACUUUUAAUUGAACUUUUCUAUAUAUUUUCUCGGUUAUUAAUUUUGGCUAGUGUUAUAGGUUUACUUCAUCAAUCACCGAUAUGAUGGUACCCAACUAUGGCAAGUCCAGAGUGUCCCCGGCAUCCACGAGCUUGUGUGGGUCUCCUCAUUCAUCUCAUUCUAUUUCUUAUACCCAUCCACAUUCAAUCUUUUAGAAGUUGCGGCAGUUGAUAAGCCUAAGCUGCACAUGUGGGAAACUGGAAUAAUGAGAAUCACCAGACACCCUCAGGUAUAUGGUACUCCUCAAUAUAUUCCCUUUGUUGGCAUGGUUGCUUAUCAUAGAAUAAUCUCAAGAAAGGGUGAAAAGUUUGUGGUAGUUUCUGAACUUUCGGCGAAUUGCAAUUUCGUCCCAAUUCAUUCGCUUAAAAUAGAUUUUGUCCCUUAAUAUCCGAUAUUUUACGUGAAAGCUUUCUCGAAAGUCUAGGUACUAUCCAUACAUUUUAGCUCCUCAAAAAUUGAGUCUAAGACUUACCGAUUGAGCAAUUUGGGUGCGAUUGCCAAUAAUUAGCAUAAAAGUUUGUUUUUUUUUAAUAUAUAUAUAUUUUUUGCUCUUAAUGCAGAUGGUAGGUCAGGUAAUCUGGUGCUUAGCUCACACUCUUUGGAUUGGCAAUUCUGUAGCAGUUGCUGCCUCUGUUGGCUUAAUAGCUCAUCAUCUGUUUGGAGUUUGGAAUGGCGAUAGGAGACUCGCUUCGCGGUAUGGUGAAGCUUUUGAAGUUGUAAAGAGCAGAACCAGUGUAAUUCCUUUUGCAGCAAUCCUUGAUGGCCGUCAAAGAUUGCCCAAAAAUUAUUACAAGGAAUUUAUUAGGCUACCUUAUCUUACAAUCACAAUUUUGACCCUCGGUGCCUACUUUGCACAUCCGUUGAUGCAAUCAUCGAGCUACGGUCUUCACUGGUAGUAAUACUGUAUGUCAAUAGAUCUACUUGUUCGACAAAGACAUGAAAAUCAUAUAAAAUCAAAUUGAAUUGUUGCUUUGCUAAACUGAGCAGAAUAACUGUUGCACACGGGAUUUCUCUUUACAAUUUUUGGCAGGCUCUUGUUUGGUAAAUGAGGAGAAACAAAAGAAGAGAGAAAUGUAGGUGAAAAUAAGAAUCUUUUAAAGAUCCUUUUGUCGAUGCAGAAGAUGCUUCUGAUAUUGUUGGAGCCUGAUCUUUUGGUGGCAGUUGAAACGGAGCAGCUGCUUCUUUAUAUCCACUCUCAUCCUCGAACUGCGAAGAAUCAUAAUUCUCAAGCCAAGCCUCGGAUGCUGCAAUAAAAGUCAGAUCAGUCUUCGUACAGAGAUUCAACAGUAAGAAAAAAAAACUUCCACUUUCUAUUAUGGAUUUAGAAAAAUUUCUAGAGUUUACCGGAACUAUUGCUCAUUUUGAUAUAGGUACUCAAACUUUAAAAGUUUUGAUUUUGAUAUCUAGUAUUAGAGUGUGUUUGAUUUAAGUACCUCUCAAGUAGAAUAUAACAGUGUUUGCAACAUUUUUGACAGAAUAUUCUGUAACAGUACAGAGAGUUUGAUAAACUUUUCUUUAAGAAAACAUUCAGUUCAGUUCCCGACAAUUUGAUGGAACUUUUCAAAAUUGAAAGUAAGUAGUCAAAUCGAAAUUUUGAAAGUUCAGGUUCCCAUUUUAAAAUGUGCUAUAGUUUUGGAAAGUUCUAUACAUUUUCAUCUAUGAAUUUGUCUACAAUGUUUACCUUUUCUUGACACUGUACUAUUCGAGUCGUCGAAGCUGAUCGGCCAGAGGAAAUAACCCAGCAGUCUAUACUUCAAAGCGAACUCUAUCUUCUCCUCAACCACGGUAUGGUCGUCGAAGCUGACCCAAACCCCGCCCGAGUAAAAAUAAGCAGAAACCGUUGAGUUAUCGUAUUGAGAAACUGUGGUGGGGUCUCUUAACAGUUGUUCAAUCUCGAAAUAUGCCAUCGAACCGGUCCGGUUGCUGAUCCGCUGCUUCGGCCCCCCGGCCACCACUGGUGAGUUGAUUCCAUUCUUCGCUUUGUUCUUUAAGAACCAAGAUUUUCCGUAUAAGGGAAUGCCCAAAACUAGCUUACAUGAAGGAAUCCCUGCAUCUAGCUAAGAAAUGUUCCCAUAGCUUGCUGAGAAGUGUGAGACCUUAUCGUAAAGUUGUGCAUAAAAAAUAGUGACAUUGCUAUUCUUGUGGAAGCCAAAUGAGACUGCAUUUAUCCAAUCUAGGUUGCUUGAGAUCGCGUCUAUUGGGUAGUCGAGAUCGUCGGACGGCCCGUCGAAUAUGUGGUUCGAGAAGUAAACCGUGGCGGUUAAAAGGAGCGGGGGCCGCGACGAGCGCUUGGCUUCGUCUUCGAUUUGAGCUCUCCAUUCUGCGAUCAAGAUUCCAAGGUUGGUCAGGUCGGCAGGGGAGGCGGGGAACUGCCACGCGAAAUCGAGGCCGUCGAACGCGUUGGCGCGGGCGAGGCCGAUCGCGGAGUCGAUGAAUGCUGACCGACAGACCGGAUCGGCGGCCAUCGCAGAAAACGCGACGUUCGAUGACUUGGAGUUUUGAUCAUCAGUGGAAAUGGACAGAAGGAUUUUGAGAGAUGGGUUUGUGGAUUUGAGGGUGGAGGAGAAUGUAGCUAAGAGUGGGACCUGGUCAGGUGGGGGAAGGGAUGUAAUGAGGAGCCUGGUGUCAAUUGAGGUGGAGUAGUAGAGGUGAGUGUAGAGAGAGGUGUUGAUGUUGGAGAGAGGGGAGUAGUGAUUGGAGGUGGAGAGCCAAUACCCAGCUCUCACCUGAUUUGAAGAGCCUGUGCAAUUGGAUGUAGAGAGAGAAACUAGAGAGAGAGUGAGGAGAGAGAUGAAGAGUGAGGUGAGGGGAAUUUGACCCAUUUUGAGGAGUUUGAGGAUGGCAAUGGAAGUGGAGGAUCAAGAGUUUUGGUUGUGGGCAUUGUUCAGAGAGAGAGAGAGUGAGAGAGGUGGACUUUGGAGAGCACUAAGGGCAAGUUGAAAAGGGGUGGUGCUUUGUUUGGAUUGGAUCAUUACUUUUAAAAAGAUGGGCUCACAUCUCUUAACCCCAUUAAUAGAAAAAGCUUUUUUGAGUGCUUCUCAUUUGGAGUGGGAGUUGAGGAUCAGUGGAUCUGGAAAAGGUAAAAGUCAUGACAGGCUGGUUCUUAUAUUACAUAUUCAGUUAUAUUGGUAUUGCCUCUGAACACAGCCCAAAUUAAUUCUCACUGUCUCCUAACUGAAACAUGGUUCAUGUGCUCACUGCUUCCCCCUUUCUCUCUCUCUUUCUCUCUCUCUCUCUCUCUCUCUCUCUCUCUCUCUCACAGUAGCUGAAAUAAAUUUUUGAAUCUUAAGUCUGGUCUUGCUCUCUCUCAAAGAGCAAUCAUUUAUGGUAGGGUGUUUGGUGAUAUAAGAAUUCGAACUUUCUAGUAUAAUAGAACUCCGCUUAUAACUUAUCAUUUUGCUGUAGUGUGAGUUCACUUUAAGUCUCAGAUGACGGAAACAUCAUAGUGGCCAAAGUUGAUAGUUCUGUUUUCAUAGUUUUAUUCUAACAGCACUUCUCCAAACUUUACUUGGAGGAAUGAGUCGCCGUGAAAGAGACAAAGAGGUAUGUUUCCUUAAGAAUGGUGCUAUAAACACAAUUUAAUUAGUCGCCGUUACUAAGCAUUUGGCAUUAGGUGAAUGUCACAGCUUGUUUAGGCACAUUAUUAAUAAUUUAUUCCAGUGGACCAUUUUUCAAUUCCAUGGCCUCAACUGCCUCACUCAUAUUUUGCAUCAGCACAAGCUGACCUACAAGGCUACAGCCCAUGUGAUGUAAAGUACAAAGCUGGUAGCAAAAGCAUAGAAGGGUGAGUGUCUUUUGUGUGAGGGAACUAUUAUACAGAGAACUUUUCUGGACACUGGCCAUGGAUCAAAGUUUUAAGUGCUUUUUUUUCUGCUUCUGAAUAACUUUUCUACUAACUGAAUUUAGUUUGGAGUAGAAAGGACGGGUGAGGUCUCAGGUUUCAAUCCAUAGGAAAACUCAGGAUUAUGCACAGGAACCAAGCAAAACUCAGGAUUCAGGUGUGGAGAGAGAGAGAGAGAGAGAGAGAGAGAGAGAGAGAGAGAGAGAGAGAGAGUAGUUUCUCUACUUGAAGAAGCAGUAGUAGAACUACUAGAGGGAGAGAGAAUAGCUUGUCUAUUUGAAGAACCAAUAANAAUUUAUUUUUCUAAAAAAAUAGACAAAGUGGGUAUCACGCUACUUUUUUCUCUUUAAAAAAAAAGUGUCCCAAAAAAAAAAGGGCAAAAACUUCAAAUACCACUCUUGUAGUUUUAUACUUUCUCACUUUAGUAUUAUGUGGUUUAAAGUGUAUCAAUAUAGUGCCAUGUGGUUUUAUUUUUAUCUUUUUAUUAUCGAUUUUACUAAUGUCUUUUUGUUAAAUCAGUGAUAAAGUUAAAAUUAAAGGGUACUAAAGUGAAUAUUUGAUAAAUUUAGGUAGGGUAUCUGAAAUUUUUAUAUAUAAUUUAACGAAAUAUUAAGGGAGAAGCUGAGAACCAAUGGUGUAAGAUUUAUGCGUUGCAUGUGAUAAAGGGCCGAUCGGACGGUGCAUCAUUGCUUUAAGAAUUGUAUAUUUUAUUUUAUAUGAUAAAUUAUUAUUAGACUAUCUCUUCGUGGUGAAGCUUUCUAUCUCAUUUUUAUUCGAAUAAUUUAUCCGAAGAGAGAAAAAAAAGCUAAAAGAUAGAAAUUAUUUUUUUGGAAAUGUCUGCUUUCUUUUUUCUUUUUUCUUUUUUUUUUUUUACUUUCUUACUUUUAAAAAUAUUUUAUUUUAAAAAAUUACAACUUUAAUGAAGAGGAUCGACUAAAUGACCACAUUAUCCUUACUUAUUCUGUAAGAAUAAUUUGGUCAAAUUAAUCAUAGCCCUGCUACACCGUCACAUCAGCGACAAUAUUCUAAAUUAGACCGUGAGACUUAAUUAAUUAUUACCACACUAUUAGUCGCGGUACUGCUAUCACCGUCACAUCAGCGGCAAUAUCAUUAUUGAGUUAACUAUGACAAUAUCAUUAUUGAGUUAACUAAAUUAGAUUAUGAAACUUAAUUCGCAUUAGCGACAACACCACUAUAGAGUCAAUUAAAUUAUAUUGUGAGACAAUUAAUUAUUACCGCACCAUUAAUCUUAGCAUAGCUAUCACCGCAACAUAAGCCAUAACAUCAGUAUUGAGUCAAUUAAAUUAGACUAUGAGACUUAAUUAAUUAUUAUCACGUCAUUAAUCAUAACACUGUUAGCACCGCCACGUCAGCGAUAAUAUCUAUAUUAAGGUUUCGUUUGGAAUUGCGGGGAGAUUGCUGUUUGUUUCAGUACGUAAUAUUGCAUAUUACUGUUAGUCGGUUACGAUAUAUUUUCUACGGUUCCAUUGGAGAACACAGAAGUAUAUUUCUAUGCUUUUUCUCAAUUUUAUUUUAUCUAACAGCGUUAAAUAAACCUCAAUACCAAACUAAGCCUAACUCAACUAAAUUAGAUGUGACACUUAACUAAUUAUUACUAU